This 274-nucleotide ribosomal RNA is filed under the name uncultured bacterium. RNAcentral describes it as "partial 16S ribosomal RNA". It matches the Rfam family "Bacterial small subunit ribosomal RNA", at positions 523 to 796 of the family's 1533-position model. The record is from RNAcentral.
CUACGGAGGGUGCGAGCGUUACUCGGAGUCACUGGGCGUAAAGCGUCCGUAGGCGGUCGGGUAAGUCGGGUGUGAAAGCCCCGGGCUCAACCUGGGAAGUGCACCCGAUACUGCUCGACUCGAGUGCGUGAGAGGAUGGCGGAAUUCCCGGUGUAGCGGUGAAAUGCGUAGAGAUCGGGAGGAACACCAGUGGCGAAGGCGGCCAUCUGGCCCGCAACUGACGCUGAGGGACGAAAGCGUGGGGAGCAAACAGAAUUAGAAACCCUAGUAGUCC